UCUCGUCAGCUGAGGAGAAUGAUUCAUAGAGGAGGGUCAGGAGAGAAGAACAAUUCUGUCUGUGAAAGCCCACUUAAAAGGCUGGACUCCUCGCGGAGGGAGGGCGAGGCAGGAGAGCAAGCAGGACUUCUGGCCUGACCCCGCCUCAGGCCGCUCGCCAGGCCUCUCUCGAGUCCUGGGCCUUGUCGGGGGCGGCCGCGAGGCGCCGGUUGCUGGGGGACCGGUGACGUAGCGGGGUGAAAGUUGAGGGGCGGUGACGUCGGGCCUGCCCGGGCGGAGGCUGGCGGGUUGGAGGCAGGAGGGAGGGAGGGAAGGAGGGAAGGAAGGAAGCUGGGAAGGAGCGAGCGAGCGGGGGCGCGAGGCGUUUACCUGGAGGCAGCGGCUUGGGCGCGCAGAGCGGCCGCGGCUCCCCCGCACCUGCGGCCAUGGAUGAGGAGCGCGCCCUCUACAUCGUCCGGGCCGGCGAGGCAGGGGCUAUCGAGCGGGUCCUGAGGGAUUACAGCGAUAAGCAUAGGGCUACUUUCAAAUUUGAAUCAACAGAUGAAGAUAAAAGAAAGAAACUCUGUGAAGGCAUAUUUAAAGUCCUUGUAAAGGACAUCCCAACAACAUGUCAAGUGUCCUGCCUGGAAGUUCUCCGCAUUCUCUCCAGAGACAAAAAGGUUUUAGUUCCUGUAACAACCAAGGAAAAUAUGCAGAUACUGCUGAGACUAGCCAAGCUAAAUGAGUCGGAUGAUUCUUUGGAGAAGGUGUCAGAGUUCCCAGUUAUUGUGGAGUCAUUAAAAUGUCUGUGUAACAUAGUGUUCAACAGUCAGAUGGCACAGCAGCUCAGCCUGGAACUUAACCUUGCUGCAAAGCUCUGUAACCUCCUGAGAAAGUGCAAGGACCGAAAAUUUAUCAAUGACAUUAAGUGCUUUGACUUGCGCUUGCUCUUCCUCUUGUCACUUUUGCACACCGACAUCAGGUCACAAUUGCGCUAUGAGCUCCAGGGACUACCGCUGCUAACCCAGAUCUUGGAAAGUGCCUUUAGCAUCAAGUGGACCGAUGAGUAUGAAUCGGCCAUAGACCAUAAUGGACCUCCUCUCUCACCUCAGGAGACAGACUGUGCCAUUGAGGCCCUCAAAGCUCUCUUCAAUGUGACGGUAGACAGUUGGAAGGUGCAUAAGGAGAGUGAUUCUCAUCAGUUCCGUGUCAUGGCAGCUGUCCUUCGCCAUUGUUUACUAAUCGUAGGUCCAACCGAAGACAAAACAGAGGAGCUGCACAGCAAUGCAGUCAACCUUUUAAGCAAUGUUCCAGUCUCUUGUUUGGAUGUUCUCAUUUGUCCAUUAACCCAUGAAGAAACAGCCCAAGAGGCAACGACUUUAGAUGAACUGCCCAGUGAUAAAACAGCUGAGAAAGAAACAGUUUUGAAAAACAAUACCAUGGUAUACAGUGGUAUGAAUAUGGAGGCCAUUCAUGUUUUACUCAAUUUUAUGGAGAAGAGAAUAGACAAGGGAAGCAGCUAUAGAGAAGGUCUAACUCCAGUUCUCAGCUUAUUAACAGAAUGUUCUCGAGCCCAUCGAAACAUCAGAAAAUUUCUCAAAGAUCAGGUUUUACCACCAUUGAGGGAUGUGACAAAUCGACCUGAAGUUGGCUCAACUGUGCGAAAUAAGCUGGUGCGCCUCAUGACACAUGUUGACCUUGGAGUCAAGCAAAUUGCUGCUGAAUUCCUUUUUGUCCUUUGCAAAGAGAGAGUGGAUAGCCUGCUGAAAUACACUGGCUAUGGGAAUGCUGCAGGACUGUUGGCGGCCAGGGGCCUCUUGGCUGGAGGAAGAGGAGAUAAUUGGUACUCAGAGGACGAGGACACAGACACUGAAGAAUACAAAAAUGCAAAACCAAACAUUAAUCUUAUCACUGGUCAUUUAGAGGAACCAAUGCCAAACCCCAUAGAUGAAAUGACAGAAGAACAAAAAGAAUAUGAAGCCAUGAAACUUGUCAACAUGCUUGAUAAACUUUCCAGGAGAGCAGAUGUGAAGGACCUGUACCAGGAUGGUGGUUAGCAACAGUGGCCCGUGCCAAAGCACUUACCAAAGUGAUGACUAAGACCCUGUCAUUAAUUCCAUGUGUCAAUACUGCCCUGUAGUACACAGAGCAGACAAGAAAGAAGAGCCCUUGAAAACAGGGAAUGAUUUUUGAGUCGUUAUCAAGCUAAGUGGCAAGCGGGAAGCUGAAACUCGUAUAGUUGAACAUUCUUGGAGGCUUAUCUCUUCCCUGGCCAGAUGCCUGAUCAGAUGAGAAGCCCGCCAUGAUACUGUCACAGUGCCUAGAAUGGGCUCUUUAUCCAGUAGACAUCACUGUACUUUUUGAUGAUAACGAGGGCAGUCUUAACUUAUGUUAAGGCCUGUAUAUAGCAUUGAAGAGAGGAGUUGCUUAAACCAAUGGGACUAAAACCUGAUGGGACAAUAACGCCUUUGGAGGAAGCACUCAACCAGUACUCUGUCAUCGAAGAGACCAGCUCCGACACAGACUGAAAGCAUCACCUGCUCAACUCUCAUAUUGCUUUUAUCAGCAUCUUUUCUCUGUAGCUCCAGGGGAAUCUUUUCUCUAAAACAUUUAUGCCCUUGCUUUGGCUAGAAACACAUUAACUGGUUUACUCAUUGAGAAUCCAGUAUAUUUAAGAGGUGAUCCUGUGUUUUUGCGAUAUUGAGGCAUUCAUACCGAGCUGCAGUUAGACGGAGUUGCAGGGGCUAGAAGCAGAAAAAAAAGAAUUCCAUUUCAUCAGUAUGGAACUGAAGGACUUCAUUCUAUAAAGCAGCCCUGGCUGAAUCUUUCAUUCUGUUUGCCAAGAUUCUUAGCAGAAGAUUUGGCCGUGUCCCUCCUCUCACUUGUGUGAGCUGCCCCGUCUGAAUCUCUCCAGCAGACAGAAGCGUGUGAGAAGCAGGAUGAGCUGCUAAAUAAGGGCUGAGGCAAGCGACUUGUGAGAUCAAGACUGACUAAAUGGAAGCCAAGCAGCUGCUCCUUAAACCUAGCCCCACUCUUCACUUCAUUUCAAUUUUGUAUAAAUAGAUAGAAAUGCACACACAAACACACACACACACACAGCCCCAGACUUGCAAACUGACUACACUCUAAAAGUUUGUAUAUCACUUAUCUAGAACUUCAGAAUACAUUUCUCCCUAUAAAGAGUUAUAAAUGAUGGUUUAGUUCUGAGGCAGCUACAAAUGCCUAUUUAUUCCCUCAUGUACCUGAACACUAGUACCGUAGAACUGAGCCCCCAUCUGUAUCGUUGCAUGGGGAGCAUGCAUUCUGAGGUCUAACUCGGGGUGCCAGGAACACAUGUCCCCCAACCCAGCAGAGGGAAUGGGGACUCCCUGAGUACUGGGGUUCUUUGGUGGCCUCUGCUGGGGGUGGGGGAGUCGGCAGCACCCAUUUGUACAUAUAGGUCAUUCAUACGUCACAUGUUUUAACUUGGGGACUGUGUGUGUGCUUGUGUGUGUGAGUUCUCCCUUUCUACCAUAUGUGAUCAGUUUAAUGGUAACUUUAUUUAUUUAAAAAAAAAGAAACACAAAUAGUUACUGUUAAACUGAUUAAGGCUGUUUAUUUUUACUUUUAGAAUUGGUCUUAUGAAGUAGAAACUGAAUCAUGCAGUAGACAGUGGGCCUAGUUAAUCAGUGGCUAAAGUUGAAAAGGGGUUGGUUUCCUUUUAUGUAUAUGUAUGUAUGUAUGUAUACAUACAUAUAUAUACACAUAAAUAAUGUGCUUAACCACUGCCUUUUAAAACUUUAAAUUAAAUAAAACAUUGGGGUU
This is an RNA transcript of Equus quagga, 3783 nucleotides long. It is a transcript of the gene named RIC8 guanine nucleotide exchange factor B, with no coding region annotated. The transcript is spliced from 13 exons. Lineage: Eukaryota; Metazoa; Chordata; Mammalia; Perissodactyla; Equidae. The record is from RefSeq and is a predicted model, not a curated record.